Molecule: non-coding RNA, 72 nt
Organism: Phrynosoma platyrhinos (Desert horned lizard)
Lineage: Eukaryota; Metazoa; Chordata; Lepidosauria; Squamata; Phrynosomatidae
Source: the annotation of a GenBank genome assembly
GCAAGAGUGGCAUAGUGGUUUGAGUGUUGGACUACAACUCUGGAGACCAGGGUUCGAUUCCCAGCUCAGUCA